This 372-nucleotide unclassified non-coding RNA is filed under the name uncultured fungus. RNAcentral's name for it is "partial contains 5.8S ribosomal RNA, internal transcribed spacer 2, and large subunit ribosomal RNA". The stretch from base 1 to 52 matches the Rfam family "5.8S ribosomal RNA", at positions 103 to 154 of the family's 154-position model. Lineage: Eukaryota; Fungi. The record is from RNAcentral.
AACGCACCUUGCGCCCUCUGGUAUUCCGGAGGGCAUGCCUGUUUGAGUGUCAUUAAAUUCUCAACUUCAAUAGUUUUUAUAACUUUAUUGAAGCUUGGAUGUGGAGGUUUGCUGGCGUCUUAGAUGUUCGGCUCCUCUCAAAUGCAUUAGUGGACCCGUUUAUUGGACCAUCCUUGGUGUGAUAAUUAUCUACGCUUUGGUUAGUUCAAUGACUCUAUGUUCAAGACAUUUCGGUGUCCUGGUUUGGGUUUUGCAUUAGUUUGCUAUACCUGUUAUUAGAGUAGGGACUUCUGCUCUCUAGCCGUCUGUGUAUGCGGACAAUUACCUUGACUAUUUGACCUCAAAUCAGGUAGGACUACCCGCUGAACUUAA